RNAcentral lists this ribosomal RNA (2648 nucleotides) under Salmonella enterica. RNAcentral describes it as "partial 23S ribosomal RNA". Lineage: Bacteria; Pseudomonadati; Pseudomonadota; Gammaproteobacteria; Enterobacterales; Enterobacteriaceae. The record is from RNAcentral.
GGUUAAGCGACUAAGCGUACACGGUGGAUGCCCUGGCAGUCAGAGGCGAUGAAGGRCGUGCUAAUCUGCGAUAAGCGCCGGUAAGGUGAUAUGAACCGUUAUAACCGGCGAUWYCCGAAUGGGGAAACCCAGUGUGACUCGUCACACUAUCAUUAACUGAAUCCAUAGGUUAAUGAGGCGAACCGGGGGAACUGAAACAUCUAAGUACCCCGAGGAAAAGAAAUCAACCGAGAUUCCCCCAGUAGCGGCGAGCGAACGGGGAGGAGCCCAGAGCCUGAAUCAGCAURUGUGUUAGUGGAAGCGUCUGGAAAGGCGCGCGAUACAGGGUGACAGCCCCGUACACAAAAGCGCAUGUGCUGUGAGCUCGAUGAGUAGGGCGGGACACGUGGUAUCCUGGGUGGGGUGACUGCGUACCUUUUGUAUAAUGGGUCAGCGACUUAUAUUCUGUAGCAAGGUUAACCGWAUAGGGGAGCCGKAGGGAAACCGAGUCUUAAYYGGGCGUUAAGUUGCAGGGUAUAGACCCGAAACCCGGUGAUCUAGCCAUGGGCAGGUUGAAGGUUGGGUAACACUAACUGGAGGACCGAACCGACUAAUGUUGAAAAAUUAGCGGAUGACCUGUGGCUGGGGGUGAAAGGCCAAUCAAACCGGGAGAUAGCUGGUUCUCCCCGAAAGCUAUUUAGGUAGCGCCUCGUGAAUUCAUCUCCGGGGGUAGAGCACUGUUUCGGCUAGGGGGCCAUCCCGGCUUACCAACCCGAUGCAAACUGCGAAUACCGGAGAAUGUUAUCACGGGAGACACACGGCGGGUGCUAACGUCCGUCGUGAAGAGGGAAACAACCCAGACCGCCAGCUAAGGUCCCAAAGUCAUGGUUAAGUGGGAAACGAUGUGGGAAGGCCCAGACAGCCAGGAUGUUGGCUUAGAAGCAGCCAUCAUUUAAAGAAAGCGUAAUAGCUCACUGGUCGAGUCGGCCUGCGCGGAAGAUGUAACGGGGCUAAACCAUGCACCGAAGCUGCGGCAGCGACRCUGUGUGUUGUUGGGUAGGGGAGCGUUCUGUAAGCCUGUGAAGGUGKSYYGUGAGGSWUGCUGGAGGUAUCAGAAGUGCGAAUGCUGACAUAAGUAACGAUAAAGCGGGUGAAAAGCCCGCUCGCCGGAAGACCAAGGGUUCCUGUCCAACGUUAAUCGGGGCAGGGUGAGUCGACCCCUAAGGCGAGGCCGAAAGGCGUAGUCGAUGGGAAACGGGUUAAUAUUCCCGUACUUGGUGUUACUGCGAAGGGGGGACGGAGAAGGCUAUGUUGGCCGGGCGACGGUUGUCCCGGUUUAAGCGKGUAGGUGUGUGUUCCAGGUAAAUCCGGUUCACUUUAACACUGAGGCGUGACGACGAGGCACUACGGUGCUGAAGCAACAAAUGCCCUGCUUCCAGGAAAAGCCUCUAAGCAUCAGGUAACAYSAAAUCGUACCCCAAACCGACACAGGUGGUCAGGUAGAGAAUACCAAGGCGCUUGAGAGAACUCGGGUGAAGGAACUAGGCAAAAUGGUGCCGUAACUUCGGGAGAAGGCACGCUGACAYGUAGGUGAAGUGAUUUACUCAYGGAGCUGAAGUCAGUCGAAGAUACCAGCUGGCUGCAACUGUUUAUUAAAAACACAGCACUGUGCAAACACGAAAGUGGACGUAUACGGUGUGACGCCUGCCCGGUGCCGGAAGGUUAAUUGAUGGGGUCAGCGCAAGCGAAGCUCCUGAUCGAAGCCCCGGUAAACGGCGGCCGUAACUAUAACGGUCCUAAGGUAGCGAAAUUCCUUGUCGGGUAAGUUCCGACCUGCACGAAUGGCGUAAUGAUGGCCAGGCUGUCUCCACCCGAGACUCAGUGAAAUUGAACUCGCUGUGAAGAUGCAGUGUACCCGCGGCAAGACGGAAAGACCCCGUGAACCUUUACUAUAGCUUGACACUGAACAUUGAGCCUUGAUGUGUAGGAUAGGUGGGAGGCUUUGAAGUGUGGACGCCAGUCUGCAUGGAGCCGACCUUGAAAUACCACCCUUUAAUGUUUGAUGUUCUAACGUGGACCCGUWAYCCGGGUUGCGGACAGUGUCUGGUGGGUAGUUUGACUGGGGCGGUCUCCUCCUAAAGAGUAACGGAGGAGCACGAAGGUUGGCUAAUCCUGGUCGGACAUCAGGAGGUUAGUGCAAUGGCAUAAGCCAGCUUGACUGCGAGCGUGACGGCGCGAGCAGGUGCGAAAGCAGGUCAUAGUGAUCCGGUGGUUCUGAAUGGAAGGGCCAUCGCUCAACGGAUAAAAGGUACUCCGGGGAUAACAGGCUGAUACCGCCCAAGAGUUCAUAUCGACGGCGGUGUUUGGCACCUCGAUGUCGGCUCAUCACAUCCUGGGGCUGAAGUAGGUCCCAAGGGUAUGGCUGUUCGCCAUUUAAAGUGGUACGCGAGCUGGGUUUAGAACGUCGUGAGACAGUUCGGUCCCUAUCUGCCGUGGGCGCUGGAGAACUGAGGGGGGCUGCUCCUAGUACGAGAGGACCGGAGUGGACGCAUCACUGGUGUUCGGGUUGUCAUGCCAAUGGCACUGCCCGGUAGCUAAAUGCGGAAGAGAUAAGUGCUGAAAGCAUCUAAGCACGAAACUUGCCCCGAGAUGAGUUCUCCCUGAGACUU